UGAGGAAUAUUGGUCAAUGGGCGCGAGCCUGAACCAGCCAAGUAGCGUGCAGGAUGACGGCCCUAUGGGUUGUAAACUGCUUUUGUAUGGGGAUAAAGUCAAUCACGUGUGAUUGUUUGCAGGUACCAUACGAAUAAGGACCGGCUAAUUCCGUGCCAGCAGCCGCGGUAAUACGGAAGGUCCAGGCGUUAUCCGGAUUUAUUGGGUUUAAAGGGAGCGUAGGCCGGAGAUUAAGUGUGUUGUGAAAUGUAGACGCUCAACGUCUGACUUGCAGCGCAUACUGGUUUCCUUGAGUACGCACAACGUUGGCGGAAUUCGUCGUGUAGCGGUGAAAUGCUUAGAUAUGACGAAGAACUCCGAUUGCGAAGGCAGCUGACGGGAGCGCAACUGACGCUUAAGCUCGAAGGUGCGGGUAUCGAACAGGAUUAGAUACCCUGGUAGUCCGCACAGUAAACGAUGGAUGCCCGCUGUUGGUACCUGGUAUCAGCGGCUAAGCGAAAGCAUUAAGCAUCCCACCUGGGGAGUACGCCGGCAACGGUG
This 540-nucleotide ribosomal RNA is filed under the name uncultured bacterium. Its description in RNAcentral is "bacterial SSU rRNA". It matches the Rfam family "Bacterial small subunit ribosomal RNA", at positions 355 to 896 of the family's 1533-position model. The record is from RNAcentral.